UGAUAGCUGUGAAGCGUGAGGUUGCUGCUUUAAUAAAGCAGGUUUUCCGUGGAGCGAAUGUCAAUGCUGGAGAUAAUUUCC
RNAcentral lists this non-coding RNA (81 nucleotides) under Lachnospira eligens. RNAcentral's name for it is "S10-Clostridia ribosomal protein leader". It matches the Rfam family "S10-Clostridia ribosomal protein leader". Lineage: Bacteria; Bacillati; Bacillota; Clostridia; Lachnospirales; Lachnospiraceae. The record is from RNAcentral.